This 492-nucleotide ribosomal RNA is filed under the name uncultured bacterium. RNAcentral describes it as "partial 16S ribosomal RNA". It matches the Rfam family "Bacterial small subunit ribosomal RNA", at positions 29 to 507 of the family's 1533-position model. The record is from RNAcentral.
AGUGAACGCUGGCGGUAGGCCUAACACAUGCAAGUCGAACGGCAGCACAGUAAGAGCUUGCUCUUACGGGUGGCGAGUGGCGGACGGGUGAGGAAUACAUCGGAAUCUACUUUUUCGUGGGGGAUAACGUAGGGAAACUUACGCUAAUACCGCAUACGACCUACGGGUGAAAGCAGGGGAUCUUCGGAGCUUUCGCGAUUGAAUGAGCCGAUGUCGGAUUAGCUAGUUGGCGGGGUAAAGGCCCACCAAGGCGACGAUCCGUAGCUGGUCUGAGAGGAUGAUCAGCCACACUGGAACUGAGACACGGUCCAGACUCCUACGGGAGGCAGCAGUGGGGAAUAUUGGACAAUGGGCGCAAGCCUGAUCCAGCCAUACCGCGUGGGUGAAGAAGGCCUUCGGGUUGUAAAGCCCUUUUGUUGGGAAAGAAAAGCAGCAGAUUAAUACCCCGCUGUUCUGACGGUACCCAAAGAAUAAGCACCGGCUAACUUCGUG